ACUUAAAUUGAAGAGUUUGAUCAUGGCUCAGAUUGAACGCUGGCGGCAGGCCUAACACAUGCAAGUCGAGCGGUAGCACAGAGAGCUUGCUCUCGGGUGACGAGCGGCGGACGGGUGAGUAAUGUCUGGGA
This 131-nucleotide ribosomal RNA is filed under the name Klebsiella pneumoniae. RNAcentral's name for it is "partial 16S ribosomal RNA". It matches the Rfam family "Bacterial small subunit ribosomal RNA", at positions 1 to 122 of the family's 1533-position model. Lineage: Bacteria; Pseudomonadati; Pseudomonadota; Gammaproteobacteria; Enterobacterales; Enterobacteriaceae. The record is from RNAcentral. RNAcentral also lists the same sequence under 1 other name.